AACCUUUUGUAGUUCAUAAGUAUGAUGAUUGGGUGUUCAUGCUGUCGUGUGACAUGUGCCACUCUUAAACCUUCAUAUGAUGUUAGCACAUUAACCGCCUGAUG
Molecule: small nucleolar RNA, 104 nt
Organism: Suricata suricatta (meerkat)
Lineage: Eukaryota; Metazoa; Chordata; Mammalia; Carnivora; Herpestidae
Source: Ensembl